CACCAGCGCCACAAGUGGGAACCACAUUUAUUGGGUCUAAAGCGUCCGUAGCUGGCUAGAUAAGUUUUAUGUGAAAUUGUUGGGCUUAACUCAACAACGUGCAUAAAAAACUGUUUAACUAGAGACCGGGAGGAGAUAGAAGUACGUUAGGUGGAGUGGUAAAAUACGAUAAUCCCUAACGGACUGCCAAUGGCGAAGGCAUCUAUCUAGAACGGGUCUGACAGUGAGGGACGAAAGCUAGGGGAGCAAUCCGGAUUAGAUACCCCCGUA
RNAcentral lists this ribosomal RNA (270 nucleotides) under uncultured prokaryote. Its description in RNAcentral is "partial 16S ribosomal RNA". It matches the Rfam family "Archaeal small subunit ribosomal RNA", at positions 474 to 743 of the family's 1478-position model. The record is from RNAcentral.